This 578-nucleotide ribosomal RNA is filed under the name Paenibacillus polymyxa. Its description in RNAcentral is "partial 23S ribosomal RNA". It matches the Rfam family "Bacterial large subunit ribosomal RNA", at positions 310 to 888 of the family's 2925-position model. Lineage: Bacteria; Bacillati; Bacillota; Bacilli; Caryophanales; Paenibacillaceae. The record is from RNAcentral.
GGAGUUACAAAGGAACCGGUUAGAUGAAGAGGUCUGGAAAGGCCCGCCAGAGAAGGUAAAAGCCCUGUAGUUCAAAACCUGUUCCCUCCGAGACGGAUCCCGAGUAGUGCGGGGCACGUGAAACCCCGUAUGAAUCCGGCAGGACCAUCUGCCAAGGCUAAAUACUCCCUGGCGACCGAUAGUGAAGCAGUACCGUGAGGGAAAGGUGAAAAGCACCCCGGAAGGGGAGUGAAAUAGAUCCUGAAACCGUGUGCUUACAAGAAGUCAGAGCCCGAUCUAUGGGUGAUGGCGUGCCUUUUGUAGAAUGAACCGGCGAGUUACGUUCCCGUGCAAGGUUAAGGUGAAGAGCUGAAGCCGCAGCGAAAGCGAGUCUGAAUAGGGCGAAUGAGUACGUGGACGUAGACCCGAAACCGGGUGAUCUACCCCUGUCCAGGGUGAAGGUGCGGUAACACGCACUGGAGGCCCGAACCCACGCAUGUUGAAAAAUGCGGGGAUGAGGUGGGGGUAGCGGAGAAAUUCCAAUCGAACCCGGAGAUAGCUGGUUCUCCCCGAAAUAGCUUUAGGGCUAGCCUCGGAAA